AGAGUUACAAAGGGUGUACCACCAAAGAGGUACUCAAAAGAGUUUGCUAACUUAGCUGUUGCAUGUGUUGCUAUUGUUAACAACUCAAAGCAGGUUGAAGCAGUGUCUACGUCAGAGACAAAGACACAACAGAGGGUAGCUAGCCAAGGUAAUGCAGAAGCACUCAUUCCUUGGAAGCCAGACAACCAGAGAGGUACAUUGGUUAAACCAGUGGCGGGUAGUUCCAAGGGUGGAACUGAAACAACAGGGGAAUGUUAUAAAUAUAACAACUGUUUGUUUUCUUCUCUGGAUGACGCUUUGCUCGCGGCACACAUUGAUACUUUAGGGGAGUAUGUUACCAUAAAGCACCAAUGCUGCAGCAAGCAAAGGCUCUAGCAGCUCAGCCAGCUGCUUGUGGCUGGAAAGCCAGACAGGAUGUUUGUGACUGUUGCCAUGGGAACAAAGGGGCAGUCCAUUCUGUACUGAGCACCGGAUGUUAGCUCAGUGUGUGUGUGUCAUAUGACCCGUACUGGAUGUACUUGGGAGGAGUUUCUUCUUGCUGUUGUUGAGUGCAGACAUGAUUCUCUGUACUGAUGUAAGAGGCAGAAAUAAAUGAUGUAAAUAGUUUUCUGUCUGCUUCUUUCCCCUCCCUGGGGACACCAAAGGGGAGAGAGGAAGAACGGUGUGUUCCUCUCAUACAUCUGAGAAGAAUCGCCGGACCUCGCCUGCUUAUCAGCAGAGUGGAGACGCGGGGAGGUCGACAGGAAUAUCUGCCGGUGCCUACGCUGUGGCACAUUCCUCUGACCCAGGCAGAAUUCCAACAC
Non-coding RNA from Podarcis lilfordi (Lilford's wall lizard), 803 nucleotides. The record is from the annotation of a GenBank genome assembly. NCBI's taxonomy places the organism in Eukaryota, Metazoa, Chordata, Lepidosauria, Squamata, Lacertidae.